Long non-coding RNA from Herpailurus yagouaroundi (jaguarundi), 507 nucleotides. RefSeq lists it as uncharacterized. The record is from RefSeq and is a predicted model, not a curated record. NCBI's taxonomy places the organism in Eukaryota, Metazoa, Chordata, Mammalia, Carnivora, Felidae. The transcript is spliced from 5 exons.
CUUUUUUGCCAUCUGACUUUUCUGUCUGUUAUCCAAAGCAGAGACCCCAACAGAAAGCCUCACAGAGCCUGAAUUGGCCCAAAAGGAGGAAGCAGAAGGGGACCGGCCCACGACGCCCGCUGAGCACUUAGAGACCUCCCCAGCCGAGCCCCCGACAGACAGCACCUCAGAGCCUGAGGUGGCCGGAAAGCAGGAAGCACGGGCGGGGGACCAGGCUGAGCCUCCCCCCAGAGCUCCCAAGACGGUCAGCAGUUUCUUCGCCCCUCGGAAGCCGGCGACCAAGAAAGAAGGGAAAGAAGAGGGACCUGGCGCCCCUAGAAAGGAGGAGGCCAAAGGACCCCUGGACCCCUCUGGCUACAACCCGGCCAAGAACAACUACCAUCCCGUCGACGACGCCUGCUGGAAGCCGGGCCAGAAGGUCCCUUACCUGGCUGUGGCCCGGACAUUUGAGAAGAUCGAGGAGGUUUCUGCUCGGUAAUCUGUCGGACCCCCCUGUGGGGGGGGCGG